CGACUGAAUUAUAAUGCAGGAUGAUAAUGAUAAUAAUAAUCAUCAUCAGGAGAGAGAGUCCGAAAAAAACAAGACAAACUGAAGAUUUAGUGCAGAUUACAUGAUAACGACUGUAUAAAUAUGAAUUAAAAGUCGUAGAAGUCAUUAAUCCAUGUGUGUGUGUGUGUGUGUGUGUGUGUGUGUGUGUGUGUGUGUGUGUCUCAGCAGGUGAUCAGACCCCCGUCGUCCCUCCACCUGUCUGCUUCUGGACCAACUUCUUCCUCUUCCAUCGUCACGCUCUCCCCUCGUCCUCUCCUCCUCCCUCUCCUCCUCUCCCUCAGACUCUCCCUCUCCUCCCCCUCAUCUCCCUCUCCUCCCUCUCUUCUCCCUCAGACUCUCCCUCAGACUCUCCCCCUCCUCUCCCUCUCCUCCUCCCUCUCCUCCUCUCCCUCCUCUCCCUCUCCUCCUCUCCCUCUCCUCUCCUCAGACUCCCCCUCUCCUCUCCCUCUCCUCUCCCUCCUCUCCCUCUCCUCUCCCUCUCCUCCUCUCCCUCUCCUCUCCCUCAGACUCUCCCUCUCCUCCUCUCCCUCUCCUCUCCCUCUCCUCCUCUCCCUCCUCUCCCUCUCCUCUCCUCAGACUCUCCCUCAGACUCUCCCUCUCCUCUCCCCUCCUCCUCUCCCUCCUCUCCCUCUCCUCUCCCUCUCCUCCUCUCCUCCUCCUCUCCCUCUCCUCCUCCCUCUCCUCUCCCUCUCCUCCUCCUCCCCCUCCUCUCCCUCUCUCCUCCCUCUCCUCUCCCUCAGACUCUCCCUCUCUUCUCCCUCUCCUCCUCCCUCUCUUCUCCCUCUCCUCCUCUCCCUCUCCUCUCCCUCUCCUCCUCCCCCUCCUCUCCCUCUCCCUCCUCUCCCUCCUCUCCCUCCCCUCCCUCCCCUCCUCUCCCUCUCCCUCCUCUCCCUCUCCUCCUCUCCCUCCUCUCCCUCUCCUCCUCUCCUCCUCUCCCUCCUCUCCCUCAGACUCUCCCUCUCUUCUCCCUCUCCUCCUCCCUCUCUUCUCCCUCUCUUCUCCCUCUCCUCCUCUCCCCUCUCUCUCUCCCCUCCUCUCCCUCUUCCUCCUCCUCUCCCUCUCCUCCUCCCUCUCCUCCUCUCCCUCCUCUCCCUCUCCUCCUCUCCUCCUCUCCCUCUCCUCUCCUCCUCUCCCUCCUCUCCCUCUCCUCUCCUCCUCUCCCUCCUCUCCCUCUCCUCUCCCUCUCUUCUCCCUCUCCUCCUCCCUCUCCUCCUCUCCCUCCUCUCCCUCUCCUCUCCCUCUCCUCCUCUCCCUCCUCUCCCUCUCCUCCUCCC
Molecule: long non-coding RNA, 1313 nt
Filed under: Sparus aurata (gilthead seabream)
Lineage: Eukaryota; Metazoa; Chordata; Actinopteri; Spariformes; Sparidae
Description: lncRNA (ENSSAUG00010018352.1)
Source: RNAcentral